GAUGAACGCUGGCGGCGUGCCUAAUACAUGCAAGUCGAGCGAACAGACGGGGAGCUUGCUCCUCUGACGUUAGCGGCGGACGGGUGAGUAACACGUGGAUAACCUACCUAUAAGACUGGGAUAACUUCGGGAAACCGGAGCUAAUACCGGAUAAUAUAUUGAGCCGCAUGGUUCAAUAGUGAAAGACGGUUUUGCUGUCACUUAUAGAUGGAUCCGCGCCGCAUUAGCUAGUUGGUAAGGUAACGGCUUACCAAGGCAACGAUGCGUAGCCGACCUGAGAGGGUGAUCGGCCACACUGGAACUGAGACACGGUCCAGACUCCUACGGGAGGCAGCAGUAGGGAAUCUUCCGCAAUGGGCGAAAGCCUGACGGAGCAACGCCGCGUGAGUGAUGAAGGUCUUCGGAUCGUAAAACUCUGUUAUUAGGGAAGAACAAAUGUGUAAGUAACUAUGCACGUCUUGACGGUACCUAAUCAGAAAGCCACGGCUAACUACGUG
RNAcentral lists this ribosomal RNA (497 nucleotides) under uncultured bacterium. RNAcentral describes it as "partial 16S ribosomal RNA". It matches the Rfam family "Bacterial small subunit ribosomal RNA", at positions 28 to 507 of the family's 1533-position model. The record is from RNAcentral.